RNAcentral lists this ribosomal RNA (583 nucleotides) under uncultured bacterium. RNAcentral describes it as "partial 16S ribosomal RNA". It matches the Rfam family "Bacterial small subunit ribosomal RNA", at positions 355 to 928 of the family's 1533-position model. The record is from RNAcentral.
UGGGGAAUUUUGGACAAUGGGGGCAACCCUGAUCCAGCCAUCCCGCGUGUGCGAUGAAGGCCUUCGGGUUGUAAAGCACUUUUGGCAGGGAAGAAACAGCCUGGGAUAAUACCCCGGGCGACUGACGGUACCUGCAGAAUAAGCACCGGCUAACUACGUGCCAGCAGCCGCGGUAAUACGUAGGGUGCAAGCGUUAAUCGGAAUUACUGGGCGUAAAGCGUGCGCAGGCGGUUCGGAAAGAAAGGUGUGAAAUCCCAGGGCUUAACCUUGGAACUGCACUUUUAACUACCGAGCUAGAGUACGUCAGAGGGGGGUAGAAUUCCACGUGUAGCAGUGAAAUGCGUAGAGAUGUGGAGGAAUACCGAUGGCGAAGGCAGCCCCCUGGGAUGAUACUGACGCUCAUGCACGAAAGCGUGGGGAGCAAACAGGAUUAGAUACCCUGGUAGUCCACGCCCUAAACGAUGUCAACUAGCUGUUGGGGUUUUAUUAAUCUUAGUAGCGCAGCUAACGCGUGAAGUUGACCGCCUGGGGGAGUACGGUCGCAAGAUUAAAACUUAAAGUGAAUUGACGGGGGUCAUAGCUG